GAUGAUCUCAUCAGCCAAAUUAGGGGUUUUGACCAAGUGAUGCUCUUGAAAGGAGAGAAAGAAGAGGAUGUGGUAAAUUCUCUUCAGAGAAAAAGCUUCUCAAAAGGUCUUAAAGCAGCUUGAAGAAUGGUCUGGGAUGUUAGGACUGAGAGAUCCUCUGGCUGAGAACAAGCUACACCACAUCAGUGCUGGAUAUCAACCACAAACUGUUUCCAGACACGAGAGAAGAAGAACACGAUGGGGAGAUGAAACCAGUUUAGAUGUGAUGAUGGGAAUCAUUAUUUUCUGAAACAGUAUCACAUGUCUUAUAUGUAUCACAUGAUCUGUAUCACAGUUGACUGGAUGGGACUGUGUGACUUUUAAGGACAUUUCAUCACUCAUCCGUGUGAACUGAUUUAUAUAUGAGGUUAAUGUAUCUUUGAUGAUAAUUAUUUUCAUUGAAUCUUAUUUGUCUUGAUGCUACUUUAUCAACUUUAUAGUCUAUGCUUCAAUAAAAUGAAAAUGGUGAA
Molecule: long non-coding RNA, 509 nt
Organism: Carassius gibelio (silver crucian carp)
Lineage: Eukaryota; Metazoa; Chordata; Actinopteri; Cypriniformes; Cyprinidae
Exons: 2
Source: RefSeq, a predicted model, not a curated record